Molecule: ribosomal RNA, 459 nt
Filed under: uncultured bacterium
Lineage: Bacteria
Description: partial 16S ribosomal RNA
Rfam family: Bacterial small subunit ribosomal RNA
Source: RNAcentral
CCUACGGGAGGCAGCAGUGAGGAAUAUUGGUCAAUGGGCGCGAGCCUGAACCAGCCAAGUCGCGUGAGGGAUGACGGUCCUAUGGAUUGUAAACCUCUUUUGUCGGGGAGCAAAAGACGCCACGCGUGGCGCUCCGAGAGUACCCGAAGAAAAAGCAUCGGCUAACUCCGUGCCAGCAGCCGCGGUAAUACGGAGGAUGCGAGCGUUCUCCGGAUUUAUUGGGUUUAAAGGGUGCGGAGGCGGAAGAUCAAGUCAGCGGUAAAAUUGAGAGGCUCAACCUCUUCCAGCCGGUGAAACUGGUUUUCUUGAGGGAGUGAGAAGGAAGCGGAAUGCGGGGUGUAGCGGGGAAAUGGACAGAUAUCACGGAGAAAUCCGAUUGCGAAGGCAGCAGACCGGCGCUCAACUGACGCUCAAGCAAGAAAGUGUGGGGAUCGAACAGGAUUAGAUACCCCUGUAGUC